This 253-nucleotide unclassified non-coding RNA is filed under the name uncultured Bacteroidota bacterium. Its description in RNAcentral is "uncultured Bacteroidetes bacterium contains 16S-23S intergenic spacer region". It matches the Rfam family "Bacterial small subunit ribosomal RNA", at positions 524 to 776 of the family's 1533-position model. The record is from RNAcentral. Lineage: Bacteria; Pseudomonadati; Bacteroidota.
UACGGAGGGUGCACGCGUUGUCCGGAAUCAUUGGGUGCAAAGGGUGCGUAGGCGGAGGACUAAGUCGGAGGUGAAAUCCUGCCGCUUAACGGUAGAAGGGCCUUCGAUACUGGAUUUCUUGAGUUCGGAAGAGGUUGGUGGAAUUCGUGGUGUGGCGGUGAAAUGCAUAGAUAUCACGAAGAACACCGGUAGCGAAGGCGGCCAACGGGUCCGAUACUGACGCUGAGACACGAGAGCGUGGGGAGCGAACAGG